GGAAGAGAAGCUGGGCCAUGAACUGCUUACAAAUAUCAGAUAAGAGAGAAAAUUGAAUGUUAAGAACAAGAGAGUAAUGAACAAACAAAGCUACAGUAAUAGCAUAUACAUAAAGCUAGUAUCGUUUUAGAGCUACAAGUCACAUGAUAACAUGACAAAAGGAAUCCAGAAGGAACUGGUGAGUGAAAACCUGUUUCAUCUAAUAGAUUCAUUUCCAGUCCAAUUUUCAGAACUCCAGCUGAAUACAGCCAUAUAAAACUAGUUGCACAGGCUUUAACUAAUAAUACCAUUGGCAACAGAACAGCCACAACAAAAAUGCAGAUUCAUCCUUGUACAGCCAAUUAGUUUACCACCAACCAAUUCCAAAACACAAAACAAAAUAUUCAUAAGAUAAUUUCAACACAAUUAGAUUUCAUUGUUUUUAUACUACAAUAAACUAGAUGUGUUAUUGACGUCAGAAGCCUUCACAAGCUUCCAUCACCAUGUUCAAUGGCCCUCGGCUCAGAACUUUAUGUUGCUGACACUUUCUAUGGAAGCUGGGAAAUUACUAACUGAACUGUAUUUCUUAAACAAAACAACUGCUGCUCAACAUUAACUCACUGAAUGCCAUAUGAAGAUGCAUCCAGAACCAUACAUAACAAAGACACAAACUCAAGCCCCCCAUUCAUCAAGCAACACACAGAUAACAAAAGCCAACCAAUAGCUUUUGAUAAUUACACAUUCAAUUUUCCCUCAUUCGCACCUUUAGUAAGCCAUGAUUCAAUAAUGAAAAGCCAACAACUAAGUUAAAGCAAAAUCACAAGAAAAUGCAUGGAAAAUUUGUUAACAAAGAUUUUACCUUUCAGUAGUGGCUCCUCCAGUA
RNAcentral lists this unclassified non-coding RNA (862 nucleotides) under Hevea brasiliensis (rubber tree). Lineage: Eukaryota; Viridiplantae; Streptophyta; Magnoliopsida; Malpighiales; Euphorbiaceae. The record is from RNAcentral.